CUACGGGGCGCUCCAGUUAGGUAUAAUUUGCAAUGCGCGCAAGCGUGACAAUUUGAAUCAGAGUGUUUUUCAAUUGAAAAACUUUUAUGGAGUGUAAAAAGCUCCACGAAUAAGGACUGGGUAAGACUAGUGCCAGCCGCCGCGGUAAUACUAGCGGUCCAAGUCGCAGCCAUUUUUAUUGGGUCUAAAACAUCCGUAGCUUGUUUUGUAAGUUUCCUGUGAAAUCCGGCUUCUUAAGAGUCGGGCGCGCUGGAAGUACUGCAAAGCUAGAGACUGGGAGACGUAAGAAGUACGUUCAAAGUAACGGUAAAAUGUGUUAAUCUUGAGCGGACUCACAAUAGCGAAGGCAUCUUACGAGAACAGUUCUGACAGCCAGGGAUGAAGGCUAGGGGCGCAAACAGGAUUAGAUACCCGCGUAGUC
Molecule: ribosomal RNA, 421 nt
Filed under: uncultured archaeon
Lineage: Archaea
Description: partial 16S ribosomal RNA
Rfam family: Archaeal small subunit ribosomal RNA
Source: RNAcentral